GGAAACUGCAGGGAAUAAGAGGGCACUGUGUUUGUAGCAGUAGAAAUUGAUGACUGAAGAAGCACAAGCACAGUCUGUGAGGAAGUUUGCCAGGAAGGCAGGCCUGGGAGAGACUUUAAAGGGCAGCUAGGAUAUCCUAUGACCAAUCCUGCUAGAACUUUGGAAAAAGCUUGAAGUUUCUAGUCAAUACCAGGUCCUCAACAUGGAAACUGGAAGAUAUCUUUCAAGAUCCAGCUGGUCCUGGGGAAUGGACAGAUGUGUGGGACACACAUAUUGAUGGCAGCUCAGCCCAACCUGUAGGAAAAUUGAGUUUGCCCGCACAGAUCUCCAGCUGUCCAAGGAAGACAGACUAUCUGGGGAUUCAGUACUCAGAAGAAUAAAAAGAACAUUCUGCAAGGGACAGAGGGACCACAGGACAGAGUGGUGCCUUCCCAGAGCCAAGGCACAAGAGGUCACUUUAAGACUGAAUUGGCUUCUGAAGCUGACAGUACCAGGAGUCUGAUCCUGUUCCCUCAAAUUUCUCCUCUCUAUGCUCAUGGACAAUGGGUCCCAGCAGUACCUGCCAAGUGACCCUCACAAGCACCAGCCAUAUAGGGAGAGAACUCCAAAGCCUCCAUCUUCCUCAGAUUCACUCCUUCAAAGGCUCCAGGUUCUCUCCCCAUUCCUCCUUCCUGAUGUCAGCACCUGCGCGCUACCAAGUUCAGCACCACCAGAUAGGACUACAGACUCCUUCAGCAAUAACUCACUGACUCACUUACUACCUGUCUAUUCACUUGUCCUAGUCUCAUUAAUUGGUUUUGACCUCUCUGCCUGCUGCUUCACCAUAUCUUCUAUUUCAUUUUCCUAAUCCUUGGUCUGUGCCCAUUUCUUGCCAGGCCUCUCCCCUCUGCAAGACCUCUUCAGCUUUCACACACCUUGUGACUACUACUCUCCUUGCAUCCCACCAAAGGAAACGGAGAGGGAUAAAUUAAAAAAAACACCUUUUAUUCUAUAAAUAAUAUAUAUUUUAAAAGGGGUGAUGUACUGCAUGUUACUGUAACAAUGGAAGCCUCAAACCACUCAUGUAACCUUAUUUUUGUAACCCUUACUAUUCCUUGUCCAACUUUCCUCCACCUCCGCACUGGUCUAUUCAUCUCAUGUGUUGCAUCUUGUCCUAUAUUUAGAUUGUAAAUAUCUCAAGGCAGAAGAUGUCUCUCUUCAUUGUUGUUAGUAUUGUCUGUAAAGCCCCUCCCCCCUACAGAGGUUGCUGUAUUAAUAAAAAGUCAAUAGACAAAUAUCACCAGGCAAAGGACUGGGCCCCAAACCUAUGGUCUUGAACAUCCCAAACUAUAUCCACACUUAAUUGUAGGUCAGAAAUAAAACCAUCUGAACAACUGAUAGAAACUUAGGAGAAUUGGGGCCUGAUCCUACUCACAUUAAAAUCAAUCUGAGUUUUAUCCUUUAUUGUAACAGCUCAAAGAAAUAUGUCAUGUAGUAAGUCUCUAUUUCAUUCUAAUAUAAAAUGUGUAUCCACAGGAUACACAAUAAGACUUUAGUGCAUCUGGUACACAAAAUACUGAAAUGGCCUGAUCCUGCAGUCCUUACUCAGGCAAAUCUCCCACUGAAUGAAUACAAGGGGUUAGGAAAUCCAUGGAUGCUAGUCCUAGCUCUUCUAUGGACUUUGUUAAGCAAGUCAUUUUACCUGUGUGAGAGACUUGGUUUAUACAUCUGUAAAAUUAGGAUAAUGAAUUAAAUGCCUUUGCAAGGGACAUGUGAGCUUUAAUUAAUAUUUGUAAAACAUAUUAACAUCUUCAGAUGCAAUAAGCUACAGAAAUGCAAAGGACAAUGAAUAUGCCAGUUAAGAAAACCAUCGUAUAUCCCAGCAAGGCGUAAGUUGAUAAUUCUUUAAGAAGUUAUGUUCUUGGUAACCCUGGAAAACUGACAGCUGUGAAUGUCUUGACCAGUUGUGCUCUCUGUCAUAUGCAGUUUACUAAAGGACUAGGUAAAUCCAUACAUUUAUAUAAAAUAUGAAUGUACUUGACAUAUAGAAUCUUGUCUUCCAGACUCAACAAUUCAGUUAACAGUAUGUACUAGACUGGAUAGCUUUUCUCAAAUUUUAAGACCUAACUUAGAACAUUUAAAACUCAAAUGUCUGUGGUGUACCUUUGUGGCAAUUUCAACCAGUAUAAUAAGAAUGGAUUUUUAUUCUGAUACAAUACUCUAAAGCAACCUUAUUGCAGGCUCAAUACCACACUUUGAGAACCACUGAUUUAGAGCCAAACAUUAAGGUUCUGAUGCUGCCCUGAGCCCUUCAUCAGGCAAACCUUCCCAAGGUGUCUUAUGCUGGGCUCUAAAAUUAAUGUACAGUUGUGAAAAUGUGAAUGCUAAUAAGCUGCCCAAGUUCAUACAGGAUGUCUGUGAUAGAGGUACAAAUAGGAAAGAAAUCUCCUCAGUCCUGUCCUUUAAUCACUGAAUACCAAAAGCAUAUAGUGUAGUGUAAGAAAAAUUAAAGCAUAAAGUGGGAGGAGUUUCAGUGACUUACUGACAACACUACUACAGACUCUUUAUAGGAAACACUUUGUUUUUCUGUUCAUACCUAUCAGGGCACUGUUAACAAGCCUUCCAAAUCUCUGGAUCAUAAUGUUUGCAAUGUGGUCUGUUGCUUUACAAUUUUCUAUUCGUGGGCUUAUUAUAGUUUACAGCAUACUGAUUCAGCCUUUGUGUUCUUAGUCUAGCACAUAGAGAAUGUGAAUGGUAAGUGGUUGUGAUUUUGCUACAUUCUAUUAAGUGCUCCCACUGAGACCCCUAGUGCUGUGAAUAUUUCCUGCUCUUUUCUUAAUACAAAUUGGAUUCUGAAACCAGGAUGGCUCACAGUGUGAAUGCUAGAAAUGGUCAUGAAUCAUAAAGUCUGGGUACAGAUCCAAGCUUUCUAUAGCUUGGAGAUAUCCAGAGCCAGAGUCUUGGUUUAAUACUAUAGAACUGGGAACUAUAGUAAUAAAAUACUAGCUCUGGCUGCAGACUUCCUGCUAGAGUUUGGCUCUAGCUAUCUCUGUUAUUAUACAUUAAUUAUUUUGUACUCUAUGAUCUACGGUGUCCAAUGGCAUAUUGCAACAGUAAAUUAAGGAUAGUAUAUUUUAAAUGUAUUUUGAUUUUUUUCAGUGCCUGUCCAAAGUUUUAGGUG
Molecule: long non-coding RNA, 3160 nt
Organism: Mauremys mutica (yellowpond turtle)
Lineage: Eukaryota; Metazoa; Chordata; Testudines; Geoemydidae
Exons: 3
Source: RefSeq, a predicted model, not a curated record